Molecule: ribosomal RNA, 492 nt
Filed under: uncultured bacterium
Lineage: Bacteria
Description: partial 16S ribosomal RNA
Rfam family: Bacterial small subunit ribosomal RNA
Source: RNAcentral
AGUGAACGCUGGCGGUAGGCCUAACACAUGCAAGUCGAACGGCAGCACAGUAAGAGCUUGCUCUUACGGGUGGCGAGUGGCGGACGGGUGAGGAAUACAUCGGAAUCUACUUUUUCGUGGGGGAUAACGUAGGGAAACUUACGCUAAUACCGCAUACGACCUACGGGUUAAAGCAGGGGAUCUUCGGACCUUGCGCGAUUGAAUGAGCCGAUGUCGGAUUAGCUAGUUGGCGGGGUAAAGGCCCACCAAGGCGACGAUCCGUAGCUGGUCUGAGAGGAUGAUCAGCCACACUGGAACUGAGACACGGUCCAGACUCCUACGGGAGGCAGCAGUGGGGAAUAUUGGACAAUGGGCGAAAGCCUGAUCCAGCAAUACCGCGUGGGUGAAGAAGGCCUUCGGGUUGUAAAGCCCUUUUGUUGGGAAAGAAAAGCAGCAGGUUAAUACCCCGCUGUUCUGACGGUACCCAAAGAAUAAGCACCGGCUAACUUCGUG